Molecule: transfer RNA, 76 nt
Filed under: bacterium
Lineage: Bacteria
Description: tRNA-Phe
Rfam family: tRNA
About the family: Transfer RNA (tRNA) molecules are approximately 80 nucleotides in length. Their secondary structure includes four short double-helical elements and three loops (D, anti-codon, and T loops).
Source: RNAcentral
GGCUUCAUAGCUCAGUCGGUAGAGCAGAGGACUGAAAAUCCUUGUGUCGGCAGUUCAAUUCUGUCUGAAGCCACCA